UACGUAGGGUGCGAGCGUUGUUCGGAAUUACUGGGCGUAAAGGGCUCGUAGGCGGCCAACUAAGUCAGACGUGAAAUCCCUCGGCUUAACCGGGGAACUGCGUCUGAUACUGGAUGGCUUGAGUUUGGGAGAGGGAUGCGGAAUUCCAGGUGUAGCGGUGAAAUGCGUAGAUAUCUGGAGGAACACCGGUGGCGAAGGCGGCAUCCUGGACCAACACUGACGCUGAGUGAGCGAAAGCCAGGGGAGCAAACGGG
RNAcentral lists this ribosomal RNA (254 nucleotides) under uncultured bacterium. Its description in RNAcentral is "partial 16S ribosomal RNA". It matches the Rfam family "Bacterial small subunit ribosomal RNA", at positions 524 to 776 of the family's 1533-position model. The record is from RNAcentral.